Molecule: transfer RNA, 72 nt
Filed under: Heteronotia binoei (common prickly gecko)
Lineage: Eukaryota; Metazoa; Chordata; Lepidosauria; Squamata; Gekkonidae
Description: tRNA-Trp
Source: RNAcentral
AGAAGUUUAGGUUAACAUUAAAACUCGGGGCCUUCAAAGCCCCAAAUAGAUCAACAACACAUCUAACUUUUG